Molecule: ribosomal RNA, 253 nt
Filed under: uncultured bacterium
Lineage: Bacteria
Description: partial 16S ribosomal RNA
Rfam family: Bacterial small subunit ribosomal RNA
Source: RNAcentral
UACGUAGGGUGCAAGCGUUAAUCGGAAUUACUGGGCGUAAAGCGUGCGCAGGCGGUUUUGUAAGUCUGUCGUGAAAGCCCCGGGCUCAACCUGGGAAUUGCGAUGGAGACUGCAAGGCUUGAAUCUGGCAGAGGGGGGUAGAAUUCCACGUGUAGCAGUGAAAUGCGUAGAGAUGUGGAGGAACACCGAUGGCGAAGGCAGCCCCCUGGGUCAUGAUUGACGCUCAUGCACGAAAGCGUGGGGAGCAAACAGG